Ictalurus punctatus (channel catfish) is the source of this 1376-nucleotide long non-coding RNA. RefSeq lists it as uncharacterized. The record is from RefSeq and is a predicted model, not a curated record. The transcript has 5 exons. NCBI's taxonomy places the organism in Eukaryota, Metazoa, Chordata, Actinopteri, Siluriformes, Ictaluridae.
CUAAUUUAUGCAAAUUAUGGUACCACCCACUUAGUAAAGGACUGUGGCUAAUCUGCAUAUGCACAUUAGCUCUAUUACCUAUUAGCGUACAAAAAGGGCCUGGAAGUAGGAAAAGAACUACAUUUCCCAUCUGCCCUGGCUGUCACAGGCUAAUAGCACCAGCUGCUUUCCAUUGCCCUAAUGAGUGAUUCUACUGCUGCAACGAGACCAAAUGCAAUGAAAGAUUCUUACUGAGGUGCUGUUUUCCACAUGCAGUGCUUGGCUGUGUUGGAGGCCACCAAGAAAGACUUCCUGGCUGUCAUGUGGAAGCUAAGUGGGCUGGGGUCAAAAGGGUUUCUGGCCAUGGUGCUUGUGCUGCAGUGAUCUUGUUCUCCAUCACACUCCAACACAGGUAGCCAUCUUCACCCUCUCCCAAGAGGUGAUGUGGUUUGACUUGUGCUACACAGAGGUGAGUCCAGUUAUGCUGCAAGAAGUGUAAGUAUGAUGGGGUUGACGAGUAGGAGGAGAGGUUCUUCCUGUGCAAGGUGCUGCUCUCUCUUCUUUCAGCAUAGCUCCUGGUCUCAGAACAGGUUUAGUUCAUCGUUGCUGGUGUUGUGUAGAGGAUGUUAUAUUGUGAAAGUCACAACUAUCCCCGCUCAAGGUCUUGUGAAAUAUUUGACCUUAUUUGUGACUAUAUUCACCAUGAUACUUUCAGCGGUUACUACAUUAGUGUCCUUAAUUUUUUACUAUUUAAAGAUUGUUUAAAAGUUUAUUACAGGCUCAAUGAAUGUUCUUCUCCUUCACUAGAAGAUAAAGGCCCGGUUUCGCAGACAGGGUUUACAUUAAGCCAGGAUUAGGCCUUCGAUCAAUUAGGACAUUUCAGUAGCUUUUAUAAACGUGUCUUUAGAAAAAAAUAUUUCUGGUGCACAUCCUGAGAUAAAACAAUGGCACUGACGUGUUUUAAGAUCCGUCCGUGCAAGUAGCUUUCAGUUAAAACAGCUCAAACAUACAUUUUAGUCUGGGACUAGGCUUAGGUCUUGUCUGUGAAACCAGGGGGAAAAAGAAGGGUGUGCUUUAUUAUGCUCUCUGCAGAAUAUGACAGAAGAAAUGUGACUCACACCUGUAACUAUAAAAAGCAGGUAGAACUGCAGUUAGCAUGAAACCUCAAAUGUGUAGCUGGGCUGGAAAUUUAUUUUUGUAUGCAUGUAUAAUAUUUUUUCUCUUACAGAUGGACCAGCAAACAGAUUUAAAGGCUGUUGUGAAUGAUGGGUUACAGAAAUGUCUUCCUGUGUUUAUUAUUAUUUGAAGUUAUAUAUUCUGAUUUGUAAGCAAGAUUAUGAAGUCUCCUUUUGCUAAUCAUUUUAGAGCAUUAUUAAAAAGUCCAUGUACACAAUGUU